UGAUAACUUUGCUCUAAAUACCCAGUAAAAUCAUUCCGUUUAUAUUCAAUUAGUUCAAAAUAACUUAGCAUUAGUACCUACGGUUCUAGAUGAGAGAAGUGCGGCAGAGAAAAACAUAACCUUAUUUUCGGAUGAGCGAACACUGAAAAUCUUUGAAGUUGCUCAGUCACCGCAACUAUCGGAACAGUGUUUGUUUUACUCCCGCAACAGAUAGUCUCAGUUCUGUCGAGGCUAUCCGUUCCAUUAGGCCGGUAAAGCACUUCUCGUAUUUUCUCUUGAAAAUACGAGAACUGCUUAGUGAUUUAUCCGUGCGCUCUUUCAUCAUCACCUUCGCGUGGGUCCCUUUGCAUUGCUCAAUUUUGGGCAAUGAGAAGGCGGAUUCACUUGCGAAGGUGGGCGCUAUGGAAGGCGACAUUUAUGAUCGACAGAUCGCCUAUAGUGAAUUUUUCUCUAUUUAUCGUCAGCAGUCGCUCGUUAGCUGGCAACAUCAAUGGAGUGAGGGUAGCUUGGGACGAUGGCUACAUUCAAUUAUCCCUAAGGUGUCGAAGUUUGCAUGGUUCAAAGGGUUGGACUUGAGUCGAGACUGUAUACGCGUGAUGUCUCGUCUCAUGUCCAAUCACUAUUGUCUAAACGCUCACUUGUUCCGUGUGGGGUUGGGAGACAGCAAUCUCUGUGAAUGUGGACAAGGUUACCAGGACGCUGAUCACAUCCUUUGGUCUUGUGUGGAGUAUCGUGGAGUCAGAUCACAUUUUUAUGAUUCCCUUCGGGCUCGAGGUAGACAACCUAAUGUUCCAGUUUGGGAUAUUUUGGCUAGACGCGAUUUGGAGUUUA
Ochlerotatus camptorhynchus is the source of this 831-nucleotide long non-coding RNA. RefSeq lists it as uncharacterized. The transcript has 3 exons. NCBI's taxonomy places the organism in Eukaryota, Metazoa, Arthropoda, Insecta, Diptera, Culicidae. The record is from RefSeq and is a predicted model, not a curated record.